GUCUUGAAUGUUUAUUUAUUUUAAGUCUGGCCUGCUCAAUGAUUAUMUWUUAAAUAGCCGCAGUAUCUUGACUGUGCGAAGGUAGCAUAAUCAUUUGUCUUUUAAUUGAAGGCUUGUAUGAAUGGUUUGACAAAAUGUAAUCUUUCUUUAUAUUAAUUUUAUUGAAUUUAAUUUCUGGGUCAAAAAGCUUAGAUUUUUUUAUGGGACGAGAAGACCCUAUAGAAUUUUAUUUAAUGUCAUAUGUUUUAUUAUUGGUUUAUUUUCUUUAUUAUAUAUUGGCGUUGAAUUUUGUUGGGGCGACAGGGAAAUUACUUUAACUUUCUCUAUUUAUUUUUUAUUAAUUUAUAUAUUAAUGAUCCUAUUUAUGGAUAAUAAGAUUAAAUUACCUUAGGGAUAACAGCGUAAUUCCUUUUGAGAGUUCAUAUCGGCGAAGGAGUUUGCGACCUCGAUGUUGGAUUAAAAUAAGUGUAAGGUGCAGUAGCUUUAUUACUAGGUCUGUUCGACCUUUAAUUUUUUUACA
RNAcentral lists this ribosomal RNA (520 nucleotides) under Choerocoris variegatus. RNAcentral's name for it is "partial 16S ribosomal RNA". It matches the Rfam family "Bacterial large subunit ribosomal RNA", at positions 1830 to 2600 of the family's 2925-position model. The record is from RNAcentral. Lineage: Eukaryota; Metazoa; Arthropoda; Insecta; Hemiptera; Scutelleridae.